Molecule: ribosomal RNA, 840 nt
Filed under: Stichotrichia sp. 1 cPFEU4
Lineage: Eukaryota; Ciliophora; Spirotrichea
Description: SSU rRNA
Rfam family: Eukaryotic small subunit ribosomal RNA
Source: RNAcentral
UUCCGGAGAGGGAGCCUGAGAAACGGCUACCACAUCUAAGGAAGGCAGCAGGCGCGUAAAUUACCCAAUCCUGACUCAGGGAGGUAGUGACAAGAAAUAACGGACCGAAGCCUAUGUUUCGGGAUUGCAAUGAGUAGAAUUUAAACCCCUUUACGAGGAUCAAUUGGAGGGCAAGUCUGGUGCCAGCAGCCGCGGUAAUUCCAGCUCCAAUAGCGUAUAUUAAAGUUGUUGCAGUUAAAAAGCUCGUAGUUGGAUUUCUGGGAGAGUGCCAAUGUCGUCUUGUUGACUGUGCAGCGGCGCUCUUCCAUCCUUCUGUUAACUUUUCGGGUAUUCAUUUACUCGUCUAGAGCUCAGAUAUUUUACCUUGAGAAAAUUAGAGUGUUCCAGGCAGGCUCGCGCCGGAAUACAUUAGCAUGGAAUAAUAGAAUAGGACUUUAGUCUCCUUUGUUGGUUUGAGGGACUGAAGUAAUGAUUAAUAGGGAUAGUUGGGGGCAUUAGUAUUUAAUUGUCAGAGGUGAAAUUCUCGGAUUUGUUAAAGACUAACUUAUGCGAAAGCAUUUGCCAAGGAUGUUUUCAUUAAUCAAGAACGAAAGUUAGGGGAUCAAAGACGAUCAGAUACCGUCCUAGUCUUAACCAUAAACUAUGCCGACUAGGGAUCGGAGGCGCGCUUUAUCCGCCUUCGGCACCUUAUGAGAAAUCAAAGUCUUUGGGUUCUGGGGGGAGUAUGGUCGCAAGGCUGAAACUUAAAGGAAUUGACGGAAGGGCACCACCAGGAGUGGAGCUUGCGGCUCAAUUUGACUCAACACGGGAAAACUUACCAGGUCCAGACAUAGUGAGGAU